This 255-nucleotide ribosomal RNA is filed under the name uncultured bacterium. RNAcentral's name for it is "partial 16S ribosomal RNA". It matches the Rfam family "Bacterial small subunit ribosomal RNA", at positions 524 to 776 of the family's 1533-position model. The record is from RNAcentral.
UACGGGGGGAGCAAGCGUUGUUCGGAUUUACUGGGCGUAAAGGGCGCGUAGGCGGUCGUGACAAGUCACUUGUGAAAUCUCCGGGCUUAACUCGGAACGGUCAAGUGAUACUGUCGGACUAGAGUACAGAAGGGGCAACUGGAAUUCUCGGUGUAGCGGUGAAAAUGCGUAGAUAUCAAGAGGAACACCUGAGGCGAAGGCGGGUUGCUAGGCUGACACUGACGCUGAAGCGCGAAAGCCAGGGGAGCAAACGGG